RNAcentral lists this ribosomal RNA (200 nucleotides) under uncultured bacterium. Its description in RNAcentral is "partial 16S ribosomal RNA". It matches the Rfam family "Bacterial small subunit ribosomal RNA", at positions 524 to 723 of the family's 1533-position model. The record is from RNAcentral.
UACGAAGGGGGCUAGCGUUGUUCGGAUUUACUGGGCGUAAAGCGCACGUAGGCGGAUCGUUAAGUCGGGGGUGAAAUCCUGGAGCUCAACUCCAGAACUGCCUUCGAUACUGGCGAUCUUGAGUCCGGAAGAGGUGAGUGGAAUUCCUAGUGUAGAGGUGGAAUUCGUAGAUAUUAGGAAGAACACCAGUGGCGAAGGCG